UACGGGGGGGGCAAGCGUUGUUCGGAAUUACUGGGCGUAAAGGGCUCGUAGGCGGCCAACUAAGUCGGACGUGAAAUCCCUCGGCUCAACCGGGGAACUGCGUCCGAUACUGGAUGGCUUGAGUUCGGGAGAGGGAUGCGGAAUUCCAGGUGUAGCGGUGAAAUGCGUAGAUAUCUGGAGGAACACCGGUGGCGAAGGCGGCAUCCUGGACCGACACUGACGCUGAGGAGCGAAAGCCAGGGGGGCAAACGGG
RNAcentral lists this ribosomal RNA (253 nucleotides) under uncultured bacterium. RNAcentral describes it as "partial 16S ribosomal RNA". It matches the Rfam family "Bacterial small subunit ribosomal RNA", at positions 524 to 776 of the family's 1533-position model. The record is from RNAcentral.